This 505-nucleotide ribosomal RNA is filed under the name Zygosaccharomyces bailii. RNAcentral describes it as "eukaryotic LSU rRNA". It matches the Rfam family "Eukaryotic large subunit ribosomal RNA", at positions 117 to 625 of the family's 3401-position model. Lineage: Eukaryota; Fungi; Ascomycota; Saccharomycetes; Saccharomycetales; Saccharomycetaceae. The record is from RNAcentral.
GAAAUCUGGUACCUUCGGUGCCCGAGGGGGAAUUGGUAGAAGGCGACUCUGGGGCUGGUCCUUGCUCUAUGUUCCUUGGAACAGGACGUCAUGGAGGGUGAGAAUCCCGUAUGGCGAGGAUCCCAGUUCUUUGUAGAGUGCCUUCGAAGAGUCGAGUUGUUUGGGAAUGCAGCUCUAAGUGGGUGGUAAAUUCCAUCUAAAGCUAAAUAUUGGCGAGAGACCGAUAGCGAACAAGUACAGUGAUGGAAAGAUGAAAAGAACUUUGAAAAGAGAGUGAAAAAGUACGUGAAAUUGUUGAAAGGGAAGGGCAUUUGAUCAGACAUGGUGUUUUGCGCCCCUCGCCUCUCGUGGGUGGGGGAAUCUCGCAGUUCACUGGGCCAGCAUCAGUUUUGGCGGCAGGAUAAAUCCCUGGGAAUGUAGCUCUACCACUUCGUGGCGGACGAACUUAUAGUCCAGGGGAAUACUGCCAGCUGGGACUGAGGAAUGCGACUUUUAGUCAAGGAUG